GGGAGGAGCCAGCAAGAGGGCCGGGCUGGAGCAGCGGGGCACUGGAGCCCGGAGCCUGGGGUCUGCAGCCCGGGGUAGCAGGGGUCUCAGCGCACAGGCAAGGCCUGGCAGCUGCCUGAGGCCGUGUGGGGACAGGGCGGUGGGUGUGGGGUGCAGGGAGUGAGGCUGGGUCUCUCCUGCAGGUAGCGGUGACCCCUGGGUGGGGUCAGGGGCAGCCCAGGGCAGUGAUGCAGGGGAGUCCUGGGGAGCACAGACCCCACAAGCACUGCUCGGACCUGCACCCUCGACUGGAGGCAGGGUGAGCAUCAGCUCUGAGCACCAGGGAUGUGAAGGCAGCUGAGGCGCAGUCCUCUCGGUCGAACCAGGGUCGGGGAGGAACAGCCAAAGGCGUCUGGGCCGGGAAGGUCGCCAGCAGGAACCGUUGCGCCAGAUGAACAGUGCUGUCUUUCUACAUGGCUAGGCUUCUCCGUGACAGGACCCUUUAUUUCAGCUUUGGCACUCAGCAGGACUGCACCAGAAGUAAAAACCAGCAGCAUUUCCAGUCCAGGGCUGAAAGAAAAUGAUGGUCUCACGGACCCGGGCUCACACAGGCUCUGGUUCCCUGGUCCUGCGUGGUGGCCUGGCCCGGACCUCCCGCCGCACGUGCCCAGCCACCAAGGCGCUGGUGCCGCAGCUCCUGAAACACUGCACCCAGGACCUGCACGCGGCCCGGUGCGAGGCCAGUACGGACACAACAGGUGUGGAGCCUGACCCGCUCCUCACAUCCAGGCGAAGAAUGAAGCGCUGUGGUCUUGAACUCUGUUCUCACUGCUCUCUGACAGCUUCUCUUUCUUCAGCCCUGCCGGUGAGCCGCAGGCGGAGAGCACCAGCUGCCCAGUGCCAGGGCCUGCACCCUUGCAGUGUCAAGGACCGGCCCUCCGCUCCCUCAUCACCCACACAG
Long non-coding RNA from Fukomys damarensis (Damara mole-rat), 940 nucleotides. RefSeq lists it as uncharacterized. Lineage: Eukaryota; Metazoa; Chordata; Mammalia; Rodentia; Bathyergidae. The transcript has 3 exons. The record is from RefSeq and is a predicted model, not a curated record.